This 432-nucleotide ribosomal RNA is filed under the name uncultured bacterium. Its description in RNAcentral is "partial 16S ribosomal RNA". It matches the Rfam family "Bacterial small subunit ribosomal RNA", at positions 29 to 506 of the family's 1533-position model. The record is from RNAcentral.
AACGAACGCUGGCGGCAUGCCUAACACAUGCAAGUCGAACGAGACCUUCGGGUCUAGUGGCGCACGGGUGCGUAACGCGUGGGAACCUGCCCUUAGGUACGGAAUAACUCCCCGAAAGGGGUGCUAAUACCGGAUAAUGUCUUCGGACCAAGGAUUUAUCGCCUUUGGAUGGGCCCGCGUUGGAUUAGCUAGUUGGUAGGGUAAAAGCCUACCAAGGCGACGAUCCAUAGCUGGUCUGAGAGGAUGCUCAGCCACCCUGGGACUGCGACAAGGCCCAGACUCCUACGGGAGGCGGCAGUGGGGAAGAUUGGACACUGGGCGAAAGCCUGAUCCAGCAAUGCCGCGUGAGUGAUGAAGGCCUUAGGGUUGUAAAGCUCUUUUACCCGGGAUGAUAAUGACGGUACCGGGAGAAUAAGCUCCGGCUACCUCCGU